Long non-coding RNA from Aethalodelphis obliquidens (Pacific white-sided dolphin), 3648 nucleotides. RefSeq lists it as uncharacterized. NCBI's taxonomy places the organism in Eukaryota, Metazoa, Chordata, Mammalia, Artiodactyla, Delphinidae. The transcript is spliced from 4 exons. The record is from RefSeq and is a predicted model, not a curated record.
AAUAAAAAGGAAUGAACACUGAUACACACAAAACACAGGGGUGAACCUCAAGUGCAUGAUGCUAAGUCAAAGAAGCUAGACUCAAAAGCUACCAGCUGUCUGAUUCCACUUACCUGACAUUCUGGAAAAGGUUGCCUGCUCUCCCUCUGACUCCGGCACCAACUGCUGAGUGCUUCAAGACACCCCCAGUCUCGUCUCUUACUGCGGUGCUCCCUCCACACACCCAACCAGACCAGACCGCCCCUCACCCGCCGCUGCCAAGCAGUAGGGGCCCAGCCUUCCUCGCCCCAAGGCCUCCACUUCAAAUCCUUCCCCUCCACCCAGACCCACCGGAUGGAUCCCAAAUGAGUUCUGGAGGCCAAGAAGUCCAAGAUCAAGACGCCAGCCAACUCAAUAUCUGGUGAGCGCUCUCUCCCUGGCUUGCAGAGAUGGUCACCUUCUGACCUGCUCCAAUCUGAACCCCCGUCUUCUGCAUCUGCGUAGAACUGAUACCCUGGGAACUUUCUUCACCAUCGUCUAGGUCAGGUGUCAACAAAUUAUGGUCUGUGGGCCAAAUCCAGCCUGCCACGUGUUUUUAAGUAAAGUUUUAGUGGGACGCAGCAUUCUCAUUAUUUAUGUAUUGUCUUCUUUCGUGCUACAAUGGCGGAGUUGAGUAGCUGUAAUAGACCAAAUGGCGUAUAAAACCAAAAAUAUUUACUAACUGGUCCUUUACAGGAAAAGUUUGGUGACUUGCAAUCUAGGUGAUUCUUUCACUUCUUUACUGUACUAGUUGAUUUGUUUCCUGAAUCCCACGUCUUCCUCCUUCCUGAUUUACUCUUUUUGGUGAAGUACAUCUUCUGGUAGCUUCCUGAGAAAGGGUAUAUGAGAUGUACCUUUUUUUGGAGAACUUGCAUGUCUGAAAACGUCCUUUCCUGCUCUCACAUUUUAUUGAUGGCUUAGCUGGGUACAGCAUUUUAGCAUGGAAGUCACAGUCUUUCAGAAAUUAGAGAGCUUUGCUUCACUGUCAUCUAGUCUCUAGGGUUAUAACAGAAAAGUCUUAAGUUAUUUUGAAUUUGGAUCUCCUGUAUGUGACUCUUUUUUUCCUUCUUAGAAGCCUAUAGGAUCUUUUCUUUGUCCUCGGUGUUCUGAAAUUUUAUGACAAUGUGGCUUGGAGAUGGUGCGUCUCCAUCACUGUGCUGGGCAGCGGGCUUUUUCUGUCUGGAAAGUCACAUCCUGCAGUAAUGGGGCAUUUCCCUGAAUGAUUCUGUUCAUCAUUUCUUCUCCCUCUUUUUCUCUGUUCCCUAUUUCUGGAAUGUUCAUUGAACAGAUGGAUGUCUUGGACUGGUCCUCUACUUUUCUUGUCUUUUCUAUCAUAUUCUGGGACAAUUCUUCAACUUUAUCUUCCAAUCUGAACCUUGAGUCUUAUUUCUUCUAUCAUGUUUUUAAUUUCAUGCUGUUAAUUUAAUUCAAUUAAAAAAGAGCUCCUUUUCCCCCCUUCCGAAUGUUUCUUUUUGAAAGUGCCUAGAUCUUGUAAUACACAUACUUUCUUUAAAAAAGAAAUUCUCUGAGGAUAUAAAAAAAUAGUUUCUUCUCCUUGUUUUGUUCUAGUUGCUUUCCUGUUUGGUUUUGCUAUUUCACGUUCGAGGCUUUCCUCUUGGUUGUCUCUUUAUAUAGGACAGUGAAAUGUUAAAAGACUGAUUUUUAGUGAAAUCCUAAAAAGCUCUGCUUGGGUGGGUGGAGCUCAUUGUCUGCAAGCUUUAUUGUAGGGAAAUACAGCUGAGCUGUUGGUUGGGAAAUCCUUGAGGUUAUUAGCUUUAAAUCUUCUUUACCGCUCAGAUUCCUCAGAGAAAGAUUUUCCUAUCUUUGGACUCAAGGGUAUAGGCUUGGCUACUAGAAUUCUGAGGUUGGCUGGGAAAAGAAAGCUGGGACUCUGAAUGUUCGGCCAGUAUUCAACGUGCCAGCAGCAUUCACUCAACCUCCCCAAAGGGGCCACUACCACAACUGUGUUUGGCGUCCCCUAGUUCAGACAGCCUUUCCUUUAUCCUGUCCCAAGGAUAAAUUGCUGGUCUUCUACUACGUUAUGGAAGGGGCAAUCUUUUUAAAUAAAUUUUCAACCAAUACAGUUAGUCUCUCCUUCCCCCACCUCUUCCCCCACUUUACAGAGUUACCUGCUGCUGUCCAUUUCUGAACUUCUUUAGGAUCCUGCUGUGUAAACUGGGUUGUUUCUUGGCUUUCUCGGGCGUUGGCUCAGGACUCAGCUUUCUCAGGACUGCUAAGUCAGUUACCACUCAUCCAUCUGCUUCUCAGCUUCCAAAUUUUUGUUGCUGUUGUCUCCUCUCCCAUUCUCUUUGUCCUUGUGGGUUUAUGUUUUUUUAAAAAAAAUCUCUUCACUGUUGUUUUAGUGAGGUUUUGGGAGGGAAUGAAAGUAAAUGUGGGUAUUUGAUCCUCCAUCUUUAUUUGGAACCUCUUUAUAAUUAAAUAUCUUUUUUUUAACUUCCAUUUAAUAUUACAGCAUAAACUUUUCCCAUGUUCUUACACAGUCUUUGUAACAACUUUAGUAAUUGUACAACAUUCCACUGAGUCGCUACCAUAGCUUACCCAAUCAUUACCCUAUUUUCAGAAGUUCAGAGUUGUUUCUGUUUUGCGGGGGGGACUAGCGUUUUCUGGAGUCACCUUUCUUCCCUGUAUUUAGGGAAUGGCCGCUGACAUUAUUCUCCUCUCUCUUAUCAGUCCACGGUUUCAUCACCUUGUGUCUUGAUUACAGCACUACCUUGUGCAAAUUUCAUUCAUCUUCAACCAGCACAAUGACGCAGCACUAAUCUUUCUAAAAUGUCACCUUUCUCAUGACACUUCAGAGGAAACCUAACACCUACAAUUCAUUUGCAACUGGCAUUUGUGGGUCCCCAUGGUUUGAGUCCACCUCACCUAUUCAAACUCACCACCCUUUCCCCAAAUGUCCUCCUUCACACAAUGGCCUGCUCUCCUAACCACAGCCCAGGCCCAUCCACACGGCCAAUGCCAGCCACACGCACCUUCAUGUACACCCUCUCCUGCAAGAGGCCUCCCCCACGUGACUCUGCUUACGCUCUUUCUUCCUUCACAUGAUACACUGAAAACUGCUGAGGCUCAGCCUUCUACAUGGACUGAGAGCUCCUCCCCUGUGUUCUCCUCUCUGGCACUGCCCCUACACUGCCCUCAUCCUACCACCAUGGGGCUCCAGCCCAGCACCAGAAACACAGUGUUGCUGAACAGGGACUCACUGAAUGGAACGGACACGCAUGUAAGUUGUUACCUUGCCCUUCGGAGUUAGCGUCCAGAUCACGGAGAAGGUGAGCUUGUCGGUCAUGGGGUUGAGGCUGCACAGUUCCUCACACAGCAGCCUGGGAAGCAUGGGGACAACCUGCAAGCAGAGAACAGGCCAUGAGCAGCUUUUUCCAAUCUGCAGGAGCUAACCACAGGCUCAGAAGCAGCCCGGGGGGCAGAGCUUUGGUGAACAGCUGGAGCUUCCAGAGUGAGCUGAACAGGGAGGAAACUCUUUUCCCUGAAGAUACAGCAGAAAGACCACACCAUCUGAUAACCUUCCAUAAGCCUUUAGGGUCAAAUGGGAUGUGAAUGUGAAAGUUCGCGGGCCUCUCACUGUUGUGGCCUCUCCUGUUGCGGAGCACAGGC